Molecule: ribosomal RNA, 894 nt
Filed under: uncultured bacterium
Lineage: Bacteria
Description: bacterial SSU rRNA
Rfam family: Bacterial small subunit ribosomal RNA
Source: RNAcentral
GUAACGCAUCGCUACCCUCCCGUAUGCAGAGGAUUUCCAGUUGGAUUCGUCUGUUCAUACUGCAUGAGCCUUUCAGUCCCGGCAUGGUUCAGAAGGAUAAGGGUUGAUCUGCAUCGGAUGGCCCCGCGUCUGAGUAAGCUAGUUGUAGUGGUAGCGCCACAUCAUGACGAUGAUCAGUAGCCGAAAUGAGAUGUUGAACGGCCACAUUGGGACAGAGAUACGGCCCAGUCUCCUAGGGGAGGCCCGCAAUCGGGGAAUUUGCGCAAUGGAAGCACCUCUUACGCAGUGACGCCGCGUGCAGGAAGAAGGUUUUUGGAUUGUAAACUGCUUUAGCCAGGAACGAAAUAAAUUACGGUACCUAAAGAAUAAGCUCCGGCUUAAUACGUCCCAGCAGCCGUAAUAAAUCGUAUGUAGCGAUCGUUAUCCGGAUUUAUGGGGUGUAAAGGGUGGGUAGACGGAUUAGCAAGUUGGCUGUGAAAUCCCCCGGCUCAACUGGGGAUCAGCAACCAAAACUGUUAGUCUUGAGUACUGGAGGGGAAAGCGGAAUUCCUAGUGUAGCGGUGAAAUGCGUAGAUAUUAGGAGGAACACCGGUGGCGAAGGCGGCUUUCUGGACAGUUACUGACGGUGAGGCACGAAAGUGUGGGGAGCAAACAGGAUUAGAUACCUUGGUAGUCCACACCGUAAACGAUGAAUACUAGGCGUAGGUAGGUAUAAACUAUGUGUGCCGGAGCAAACGCAAUAAGUAUUCCCCGGGGGAAGUACGACCACAAGGUAAAAACUAAAAAAAAUUGGGGGGGCCCCCCACAAGCAGUGGAGUAUGUGGUUUUAUUAGAAGCAACGAGAAGCCCCUCCCGGAGGCUUCACAUAUAGGGACCGCUUAAGAGAUAUUCUUU